CGGGUGAGUAAUGUCUGGGAAACUGCCUGAUGGAGGGGGAUAACUACUGGAAACGGUAGCUAAUACCGCAUAACGUCGCAAGACCAAAGUGGGGGACCUUCGGGCCUCAUGCCAUAAGAUGUGCCCAGAUGGGAUUAGCUAGUAGGUGGGGUAACGGCUCACCUAGGCGACGAUCCCUAGCUGGUCUGAGAGGAUGGCCAGCCACACUGGAACUGAGACACGGUCCAG
RNAcentral lists this ribosomal RNA (228 nucleotides) under uncultured bacterium. RNAcentral describes it as "partial 16S ribosomal RNA". It matches the Rfam family "Bacterial small subunit ribosomal RNA", at positions 103 to 334 of the family's 1533-position model. The record is from RNAcentral.